AUGCAGGAGAAACUGGACUGAGACCACCGGAUGAAGAGUCCCUCCGCUUCUUAACUUCCUUGGUAAGUCCAUCAAUUUCCAGUCUCCAAGAACAGGAGAGUGAAGAAAGCAUUGAAAGGAAACCGAAAACAUCCAGCAGUUUCUUUCAGAACUUGAUGGCAUUGUCAGGAAGAGAGCACACUGACAGAAGGAAAAAGAAGAUUUAUGAUGAAGAGAAGGGUGGAGAGGAGAGUGAAGAGGAGGAAUGGGAGAGAAUGAAGAGAAAGAAGUACUAUAAGGAAAAGGAGGACUAUAAAGAAAAGGAGGAAUGUGAGAGAAUGGAGACAGAAAAGGAGAGGAAGAAAAGGGAGAAAAGGGAGAGAAAAGAGGAAAAGGAGGACAGGAAGGAAAGGGAAAAA
Long non-coding RNA from Spea bombifrons (plains spadefoot toad), 398 nucleotides. RefSeq lists it as uncharacterized. The transcript is spliced from 2 exons. The record is from RefSeq and is a predicted model, not a curated record. Lineage: Eukaryota; Metazoa; Chordata; Amphibia; Anura; Pelobatidae.